UGGGGAAUAUUGCACAAUGGAGGAAACUCUGAUGCAGCGACGCCGCGUGAAGGAUGAAGUAUUUCGGUAUGUAAACUUCUAUCAGCAGGGAAGAAAAUGACGGUACCUGACUAAGAAGCCCCGGCUAACUACGUGCCAGCAGCCGCGGUAAUACGUAGGGGGCAAGCGUUAUCCGGAUUUACUGGGUGUAAAGGGAGCGUAGACGGCACGGCAAGCCAGAUGUGAAAGCCCGGGGCUCAACCCCGGGACUGCAUUUGGAACUGCUGAGCUAGAGUGUCGGAGAGGCAAGUGGAAUUCCUAGUGUAGCGGUGAAAUGCGUAGAUAUUAGGAGGAACACCGGUGGCGAAGGCGGCUUGCUGGACGAUGACUGACGUUGAGGCUCGAAAGCGUGGGGAGCAAACAGG
This 404-nucleotide ribosomal RNA is filed under the name bacterium. RNAcentral describes it as "partial 16S ribosomal RNA". It matches the Rfam family "Bacterial small subunit ribosomal RNA", at positions 355 to 776 of the family's 1533-position model. The record is from RNAcentral.